RNAcentral lists this ribosomal RNA (392 nucleotides) under uncultured bacterium. Its description in RNAcentral is "partial 16S ribosomal RNA". It matches the Rfam family "Bacterial small subunit ribosomal RNA", at positions 523 to 917 of the family's 1533-position model. The record is from RNAcentral.
AUACGGAGGAUCCGAGCGUUAUCCGGAUUUAUUGGGUUUAAAGGGAGCGUAGGCGGACGCUUAAGUCAGUUGUGAAAGUUUGCGGCUCAACCGUAAAAUUGCAGUUGAUACUGGGUGUCUUGAGUACAGUAGAGGCAGGCGGAAUUCGUGGUGUAGCGGUGAAAUGCUUAGAUAUCACGAAGAACUCCGAUUGCGAAGGCAGCCUGCUGGACUGUAACUGACGCUGAUGCUCGAAAGUGUGGGUAUCAAACAGGAUUAGAUACCCUGGUAGUCCACACAGUAAACGAUGAAUACUCGCUGUUUGCGAUAUACAGUAAGCGGCCAAGCGAAAGCGUUAAGUAGUCCACCUGGGGAGUACGCCGGCAACGGUGAAACUCAAAUGAAUUGACGGG